CAGUUUUCUUUUGCUAGAGUCCGCUUGUUUCAGCAGAGCUGAGAGCUGAAGGACUGUAAUCUUGCCCUUUUCGUGACUCACAGCCAGGUGCUGCCGACGUCCAUGUGGGGAUGACAGCACACACAUUGCCACACGUCUCAGCACAUGUGCACUGAUCAGCUGCCGGAUGGUCUGGCCCUGAUCACCGCUGUAGUUCAUGCGGACGUUCUCAAACGCGCCCUCUUGGGAGCCAAGAGUUGGGACCAUCAACUGAUCUGUCAUUUCUACUGACUUGUCCAAUGUAUGCA
RNAcentral lists this long non-coding RNA (287 nucleotides) under Gallus gallus (chicken). Lineage: Eukaryota; Metazoa; Chordata; Aves; Galliformes; Phasianidae. The record is from RNAcentral.